GGUGCUUGCAUCAUGAUUUACAUUUGAGUGAGUGGCGAACUGGUGAGUAACACGUGGGAAACCUGCCCAGAAGCGGGGGAUAACACCUGGAAACAGAUGCUAAUACCGCAUAACAACUUGGACCGCAUGGUCCGAGCUUGAAAGAUGGCUUCGGCUAUCACUUUUGGAUGGUCCCGCGGCGUAUUAGCUAGAUGGUGGGGUAACGGCUCACCAUGGCAAUGAUACGUAGCCGACCUGAGAGGGUAAUCGGCCACAUUGGGACUGAGACACGGCCCAAACUCCUACGGGAGGCAGCAGUAGGGAAUCUUCCACAAUGGACGAAAGUCUGAUGGAGCAACGCCGCGUGAGUGAAGAAGGGUUUCGGCUCGUAAAACUCUGUUGUUAAAGAAGAACAUAUCUGAGAGUAACUGUUCAGGUAUUGACGGUAUUUAACCAGAAAGCCACGGCUAACUACGUGCCAGCAGCCGCGGUAAUACGUAGGUGGCAAGCGUUGUCCGGAUUUAUUGGGCGUAAAGCGAGCGCAGGCGGUUUUUUAAGUCUGAUGUGAAAGCCUUCGGCUCAACCGAAGAAGUGCAUCGGAAACUGGGAAACUUGAGUGCAGAAGAGGACAGUGGAACUCCAUGUGUAGCGGUGAAAUGCGUAGAUAUAUGGAAGAACACCAGUGGCGAAGGCGGCUGUCUGGUCUGUAACUGACGCUGAGGCUCGAAAGUAUGGGUAGCAAACAGGAUUAGAUACCCUGGUAGUCCAUACCGUAAACGAUGAAUGCUAAGUGUUGGAGGGUUUCCGCCCUUCAGUGCUGCAGCUAACGCAUUAAGCAUUCCGCCUGGGGAGUACGGCCGCAAGGCUGAAACUCAAAGGAAUUGACGGGGGCCCGCACAAGCGGUGGAGCAUGUGGUUUAAUUCGAAGCUACGCGAAGAACCUUACCAGGUCUUGACAUACUAUGCAAAUCUAAGAGAUUAGACGUUCCCUUCGGGGACAUGGAUACAGGUGGUGCAUGGUUGUCGUCAGCUCGUGUCGUGAGAUGUUGGGUUAAGUCCCGCAACGAGCGCAACCCUUAUUAUCAGUUGCCAGCAUUAAGUUGGGCACUCUGGUGAGACUGCCGGUGACAAACCGGAGGAAGGUGGGGAUGACGUCAAAUCAUCAUGCCCCUUAUGACCUGGGCUACACACGUGCUACAAUGGAUGGUACAACGAGUUGCGAACUCGCGAGAGUAAGCUAAUCUCUUAAAGCCAUUCUCAGUUCGGAUUGUAGGCUGCAACUCGCCUACAUGAAGUCGGAAUCGCUAGUAAUCGCGGAUCAGCAUGCCGCGGUGAAUACGUUCCCGGGCCUUGUACACACCGCCCGUCACACCAUGAGAGUUU
Molecule: ribosomal RNA, 1362 nt
Filed under: Lactiplantibacillus plantarum
Lineage: Bacteria; Bacillati; Bacillota; Bacilli; Lactobacillales; Lactobacillaceae
Description: bacterial SSU rRNA
Rfam family: Bacterial small subunit ribosomal RNA
Source: RNAcentral